AUUGAACGCUGGCGGCAGGCCUAACACAUGCAAGUCGAACGAGUGGCGGACGGGUGAGUAAUGUCUGGGAAACUGCCUGAUGGCGGGGGAUAACUACUGGAAACGGUAGCUAAUACCGCAUACCAUCAGAUGUGCCCAGAUGGGAUUAGCUAGUUGGUGGGGUAACGGAUCACCAAGGCGACUAUCCCUAGCUGGUCUGAGAGGAUGACCAGCGACACUGAAACUGAGACACAGUCCAGACACCUGCGGGAGGCAGCAGUGGGGAAUAUUGCACAGUGGGAGCAAGCCUGAUGCAGCGAUACCGCGUGUAUGAAGAAGGCCUUCGGGUUGUAAAGUACUUUCAGCGGGGAGGCGUUACCCGCAGAGGAAGCACCGGCUAACUCCGUGCCAGCAGCCGCGGUAAUAC
RNAcentral lists this ribosomal RNA (406 nucleotides) under uncultured bacterium. Its description in RNAcentral is "partial 16S ribosomal RNA". It matches the Rfam family "Bacterial small subunit ribosomal RNA", at positions 30 to 526 of the family's 1533-position model. The record is from RNAcentral.